AUUUCAGCCAUGGAAGACGAUUUCGACUUCGGCGACAAAGUCCCGCCGGCCGUCAACCGCAUGGGGAACGUGAUUAGAGAUGCAGAUGCAAGAGGAUUCAAUCCAGGACUGAUUGUGCUGCUUGUAGUUGGUGGGCUGCUCUUGGCUUUUCUUGUUGGAAAUUAUGCUCUCUACAUGUAUGCGCAGAAGACCCUCCCACCAAAAAAGAAGAAACCAGUUUCUAAGAAGAAAAUGAAGAGGGAGAGAUUGAAGCAAGGUAUCUCUGCACCUGGAGAGUAGAAGUGUAGUAGUUGUAGUGUUUGAUUUUUCUCUUAUGUGUUGUAUUUCUGUUCCUUACUUGGUUGAACUAACAAGUUCUCCCUACGAAUUUCAGUGUUUGAAGAGUUGUUUUGUUUAUGUUGUUAAGUUGUUUGGAAUCUGAACAUAUGAUUAGAAGUUAGAAGUUUAUCGUCCCUUGUAUCCUUAGAGAUGAGAUAAUAAUAACAUAGUUUU
RNAcentral lists this unclassified non-coding RNA (492 nucleotides) under Hevea brasiliensis (rubber tree). The record is from RNAcentral. Lineage: Eukaryota; Viridiplantae; Streptophyta; Magnoliopsida; Malpighiales; Euphorbiaceae.